Long non-coding RNA from Aethalodelphis obliquidens (Pacific white-sided dolphin), 7489 nucleotides. RefSeq lists it as uncharacterized. The record is from RefSeq and is a predicted model, not a curated record. NCBI's taxonomy places the organism in Eukaryota, Metazoa, Chordata, Mammalia, Artiodactyla, Delphinidae. The transcript has 5 exons.
CUCUCAGAGGCUAAUUUAUCCUUACUCCCGUCCCCUCUGCACCAAGGGUGCUGGAAAAGGCAGAGAGUGACUGCAACCAAAUGCUAUCUUGUCAGACAUAUAGAAUGAUUAACUGCCUGAGUGGGUAAAGAGAUGCCUGGAAGGUCACUGGCACAUCCAUAGGUCCUGUGGCAGAUGGUAUUCUAACGAGGGCAGCAGCAUCCCACAUGCUCUUCUUACAAGAAAUACCAGCCCUGGAUUUCCUGCUUGUCCUCAUGCCGUAUAUGCUGCCAAGCUACUCCAAAGUGAAAAUGCCAAUUUCCUUUACAAAUUACUUUGUGCUCCUGCUAUUAAUCUAAUAGAGAUAUGGAAGUGGGCGAAAGAAAAGAAGCUGCUCUUCUGGCAAUAAGGAACAAUCCUGAGAUCAAAUUACACAUUUGUGUAAUCGGAGGCCUACUCCAAAAUUACACAUUUCUUCAUAUGGUUUGGCUAAACAGUUGAAGUUGAGAGUAGACCCUGACUCUAUCUCUUAGGAAUUAGAAUCAUUUAUAAUCCCUGUUUCUUUUGACUAGUUCUGCCAGUUGGUGAUAAGAUGUAAGACAAAAUGAGAUAAAAACAAAACAGAAUUUUUAAAAAACUAUUGUGAGUUUAAGAUAUAGUAAAAUAAUGUGGGUAGUCUUCUAGAAUCUAGUUAAAUAAAAAAAAAACAAAUAAAAUUCUUAGAAAUAUAAGAUAUCAACAUUUUUUUAAACAAAAGAACAAUGGAAGAUCCAGGAAGAUAAGAGAGGACAGGAGUAAGUUUGAUGCCUUCACACAGGGAGGUGAAAUCAUUCAUCCCCUAGUCUGAGUUGUUUUCCAGUGGUGAUGAUGGAUUUGAACAAUCCGUCCAAACCUUUUCACCCAGUUCCUCUCUUUACCAAUUGCAGGCCUCUGCGAUGGGGCAAUGUGGAUGAGAUGUGAGAAGAUAAAUGACUCCCCAGAGGUUUCUGUGAACUUUAUUCCUAGUAUCUUGGUUCUAAUGCUGAUGAUAGAAGAGAAAUGUCUUAAAUUCUGGGUAAACAGUCACUUAACUACUCAGAACAUUUGGAAAUUAGAAAAAAAAAAAAGGAAUAUUUUUCUCUGUUCAUUUUGAUUUCAUAAGUAACUGAGUUUCCUUUUCUCUGUCUAAGAGAAAAGAUCCAGAAGAUGCUGACUAGAUUGUAAGCACCAGAAGAUCACUAUGAUACACUCAUCUUUAUAUUCUACUGUGUUUGGCACUUGUCAGGGUCUCAAUAAAUAUUUGUUAAAUUGAAUUAAUUGAAUUGAAUUAAUUGAGUAAAAGAGGAGGUAUAAUCUUUUAGAAACAAAAACAAUUUAAAAACCUUGAUAAGAAGUUUAAGUACAUCAUUCAAUCUGUGUUCAUAGAUCAACUGAAAAGGGGGAAUUAGAGAGGGGAAGUCAAAAGAUAAUCUACUGACUGAUAUAUAAUUUGGGGGUAUCCACUUUUCCUGUCACUUGUGGGAAAUAUCACCAGCGUCUAAAUCAAUCAGUGCACGUAAGGAUAAUGGGGAUGGGAGCACAGCAACUUCCCUUAGCUCCUGUUUACAAGUCCAACUGACAUCAGUUGCUGUAACCUUUGUGGUCUCUCUCCCUUAUUUGACUCACUUUGUCCCAGAGAAGAAGCAUGUCUCAUUAGUGCCUUUAAGAAAUAAACUGGCGCUGCGUAGUUGGGAGCGAGCUGACCUCAGGAAGUACACAUUUUGGUCUGCUUCUUCUGCCCCUAAAUUGUGCGGAGGCAAGUCCUCUAGUGGAAGCUGUGCUGUGGCUGGUGGAUAAGUCUUUUAGGAAGCCCGCUGUUGUCAUGCGCCUAAGCUAUGCAUUUCUUUAUGAUCUUUAUCAGUAAUGAGGAUGACAUUUUAAUCUCCUUCUGCCAGACUUCCAUGUCUAUCUUUUCAUUAUUUUCAAACUUGAUUGGGAAAAGAAUGUUACUUUUUGGUCCCUUAUAAGGUACUUAUACUGGCUCCAGCAACUCUACAAAUCUGUAGUUUGCAUCUGGUUAUCUGAGGUGUAUUCAUUUAUUCAUUCAGCCAUUCAUUUGGAAAUAGUUAUGGAGUCCCUAAAAUAUACCGAGUACAUAUAUGGUAAGCCCUGGGACCCUACCCAUAAGGAACUCACAUUAUAGAGUAUUUAUAAAGCAAUCUGACAAAUGGGUAAGCACGUAGCUUCCCAAGAAGUAACAGUCUAAGCUGAGUUACUCAUUUUUUUGGUGUUUUCUUAACUGAGUCAAAACCCAGUAGGAUUUGGUCAGGCGGUAGCUGAUUUACCUGAUCAAAUCUGGUCUACCUGGUCAGAGCUAAGGGUGAAGGGGCAGUCAGGGGCUCAGUUCUGAAAGACCCUCCCUAAAAACCUAGACUCUGCCCAGUGGGUAACAGGCAACUGUGAAAGAGAUUAGGGGAGUGAUAUGGUCAGGUUUCUGUCCAUAAGGUCACUUUGAUAGCUGGGAACAUCUGUCUGAGGAGGACAAGCCUGGAGAGACCAAUUUGCAGAUUGUUCUGGGCGAGAGACUCUAAGAAUGUGAUUUAGCAGCACUUUUGCUUACUUUUGUUUUACCUUUCCUUUUUUUUUUUUUUUGGCAAUCUUGACAUUUUGUAGGAUUAGCAGUAAGAGCUCUGAUGAUGAUGAUGAUGAAGAAAAAGAAGAUGAUGAUUGCUAAUGUUAAGUUCUUGCUAUGAACUGCCACUGGGCUAAAAUGUUUCUGUGUAUUAGCUCACUUUGUAGUCACUAAAAAUGUAUAAGGUAGAUAGUAUUCUUUUGCAUUUUAUGUAUGAGAAAACUAAGGCUUCAGGGGUAAAAUAACUUGCCCCAGGGUGUACAGCCAGCCAGCAGCAGACCUGGGACUAUCUGACAGUUUCCAGCCUGUCUGACUUCAGCUUCCAUUCUGAUGACCCUGUGCUCUAUGAAAAGUUUCAUAGCUCUUUACCAAGCACUUUCUUAUACAGCGUCUCACUAGAGCUCUAACAGGAUCCUUAGGUCAACCUUCAAUUCACUCCAAACAGAGUAGCUCAUUCUCAUUUAACAGAAUCAUGCUCAAGAAAAUUGUUUGCGAUAUACUUUGAAAUCACAAAAUAUAUUGCUCUUUAUUUGUACAUUGAUGACCGAUUUAGUGCCUUUUUGACCAAAUUUUAGCAGUCAAAUGUCUUCACCUUACCAUCUAACAGAUAUAUACAGAAUGAAUUUUAAUGUUAACUUUAAGUAAAUAAGAAAAUAUUCUGUAAAAUAUUGUAGGUGAAGUGAUUUCUGGUUUAUCUCUUGCUAUGGAUUAUUCAUUCAACAUUCAAAAAGUACUAAGUACUUAGCACGUGUUACGCACUACUCCUUUUAAGAGUAUGGAGGAAUAUAAUCAGUAACUCAUUCAGAUUUGCUCGCGCAGAGCACAGCUCAGUCCAUUGUACAGAGGUCCUCAAUAUCUGCUUUCAGAAUAAAUAAAUCCAGUGAAAGAAAGCAAAGGAAGUACACUGUCUGGGCCCAAGCAUCAAAUUAAUUAAAUUAAUUAAAUUAAAUCAUUGUACUACCUUACAUAUACUAGUUUUAUUCCUUGGAAAUCUUCGGAUUAGUUUUUUUUCCCCAUCCAUGUUGAUAAGGUAAAGGUGAUGGUGUUGCUUUACAUUCACUUCGCAUUAGCUUAGAUAAAUAAGUUAGUUAUCUAUUUAUGCAGGAUUGUGAGUGCUUCAUCAUUUAUGUUAGCAUUACUUAUCCCAAACCUCCCAGUUUUAAACAGAAACCUCAAAGGGCCAUAAUGAACAACUUGUCAUUCUUGGUGAAUGGACUUGUAAUAGUUACAAGGGUGCUUCCAAACCACCCAGCAAGUUCUGGCUGGAAUCAGGCCUACAAUUAGAAACUGCAGAUAUGUAGCCUGCCUUACUCCCAGUGAUAGGCUGUCUCUCCCAGAGGGUGAGGGUUCUGGUUCCUCUAAUCUUCACUCCCUGCCCCCACUCCCACCUCCUCACCACAUGACGUGACCCCACCUCCCUGCUCAGAACUGCCAAAAGACUGUGGAUGGCAGAGUUCCUGCAUUCCUCCCCUGGCACUGGAGCAAAAUUACAGCAUUACUGUUGGGCUUUAAGGAGUUCCUCUUUUUUCUACUUUUAUCACGCUUUCUUGUGUUCUGACUCUAACAAUUUGAGAGAAAAUGUAGCGUCCAAUUCUUGUUUUAGCUGCCAAGAUUCCACAAUGCUUAGGCAAAGGAAGGAAAAAUGGCGCAGGCAUUUAAAUUUACCCAAAUGCCUCAGAAGACUACACUUUCUGGACAUGAAUAAAGAGGAUGUGAGUAAACUUAUUCCUAAUGUGCCAGGUUUAUCCCUUUGAAUAAUUGGAUAAUUCCAGCAAAUACCAUGUUGAAAGUUUUACUUGCCUGGCUUAGUUUUGAGGCUUCAUUUAAAAGACUAUUUAAUAAGACAAUAAAGUAUUAAGUUUUAAUGUGGUAUUAAUAUAGUAAUACUAAACGUACUAAGGAGAGAUGGCAAAGAUAACCCAGAUUUCAUUCCAGGAAACUCUUUCCUAAAUUAAACUUCUUAAAACUACCAAAGAGAAGCUAAUUGCUUACAUUUCAACCUUCCUUUCCUUUUCCAGCUCUCUUAUAGACUAAUGAUUUAAAUGAGUUAAAAAUUGAGAACAUUCAAGUGAAAAAAAUCUUCAUUUCAGGGGUUAUUUACAAAGAAAUGUGGUUUGUGUAUCCCUCCCAUGGAAAAUGCUUAUUUAUCUAACUUUACUACAAGCAUUUCCCACUAUACCUGGCUUCAUUAAGAGUUCUAGGACCUCCCUGGCGGAAGGUCCAGUGGUUAAGACUCCACAUUUCCACUGCAGAGGGCACAGGUUAGAUCCCUGGUUGGGGAAUUAAGAUCCUGCAUGCUAUGCGGUGCAGUCCCCCUUCCCCCCCAAAAAAAAGAAAAAGAAAAGAAAAACGUUCUAAAAGAUGAGACUCUCUUGAAACUAACAUCUUAAUGUCUCCCUACAGAUCUCUCCUUUGGAUGGUGUAAGAAUCUUCGUAUACUAUUAAAGUAGAAAUGUAUUGACAGAGUUAAGACUCUGGGUCCAACAUAUCAGAGAGAAUCUCGGCCUUUUGUAUGUUUGUGGAAUUGUUCUACAGUGAUCUGUGUUUGUGACAAUUACCUAGAUUAUGGAAAUCUGUGGGCUUAAGCAAGUCUUUUCCUUUUUGGUAUUUCUAUUCUCGCACCUAUACAUUAUUGAUACUGUUAAAGCUAAAAAGCCUUCUUCUCGGGGGUACACCAUGGAAUAGACAUUCUUUGAACUCAUACAUUGAAUGUUAAGUUCUUAGUGUGAGCAGAUGAGUCUAUCAAGAUAUGCUACAGAAAGGUGAAGUAACUAGAAAUAGAAAUAUAAGGAACAAAUUUUCCAUGGUUCCAAGAACAUCCAGGCAGAAUAAAUUUAUGCAUCAAGACUAAAAAAGUUACACUGAUCUGUGGCUUUUCCCCCCAUAUUGUACGUACUCUAAAAUGUCCACUAAAGUUUGAAUCUUUUAGGAUACUCUCAACUUCAAGUCUGUCUAAGUAGUUUAAACCAUAUAGAAAGUCAUUGACUCGGAUAAGUGGGCAUCAGUUAAUGGACUCAGAUGCGUUUCAUCUCAGCUCUGUUGAACACAGGCUUCACCCUAAGGACAGUUGUCCUCAUAACUGCAAGACAGCUGCCAGCUGCAAUCAGGGAUACAUGCUUUUUUCUUCCACUUCCAGUGUAAAGGAGACUUGUUUCCUGAAGCAUCCCCUAAGGACAAGGAAGGUUUUUCCCUGGAAAUCUCUAGCAGAAGCUCGUUGAUCAGUCUAAUUUGGAUCACAUGCUCAUUUCAGAACCAAUCACAAGAAAAAGUUAUGUAAUAACCCUUUGACCUAUCAGCCCAUUGAGGACAUGGACUGUGUCGGGAAGGAGUGGAUAUCUAAACAUUAUUAUAGUCUGUUGGAAAGGAAGAAAAGACAAUGAGUGCUGUAGGCCACCGGUAAUGUCCACUCCAGAGUUCCUGGGAGGAACAUGGCCAGACAGUAAGGACUAAAACCGUUAUGACCAUUAGCCCACAGUAAGACUGCAUGUUGAAGCUACCAAAUGAGUCAGAUAAAAGAUCUAUUUAUAAGGAGAAGUAUUGACCCUGAUUCCCCAAGACCCCAUGGUACAGCUAAGGAUUUCUUUUUUCUUCAUUUCUCAAGGAGUGGAGAGAGCAUGUUACAAGUUGUCUGCAAAAAGACGCACAAUUCCACAAUUCAAUCCAUGAUACAUACCUUUUCUGCAAGCAUUGUGAUAUGGCACUGCUGUAUUUGAAAUUUCUGAGUUGAGCUGAUUCAGAUGAACUAAUAUCUGGAAGUGUCUAAAAACAUAAGAACCUAUCAGGCAUACCAGCCUGGGGUCAAAUAAAUGGGGUGCAAACUACAGAACACUUAUUCCCACCUCACCCAUGGGAACUGUUGGAAUUGUAGCUCUUUAAAUCAAGAAUUCUGGCCCAGAAGAGAUGAACAGGAUCUUUCUCAACUCCCAUCUUCCUCCUGGUCCCUGAGGCCACCUGGUCACAGGCUACUUUGGAAGUUACACCAUUUGAGCACCCCAGCAUCACCUGGGCUAGACAGCAAGUCCCUCAAGACACAGGGACUGUGUCUGUCAUUUCCUAUUUGUAGUGCUUUUCCUGGUAUGUAGUAUGUGAUCAAUUAAUGAAGGAAAGAAUAAAUGAAGAAGAGUUUGGGUGACUUUUUGUAUUGGUUCCUGUCACUGAUUUGGACCAAGGAAGAGAGAUAAGAGUAAGAAAAGAGUUCAGGUCAUCAACUUGACCCCUCAGGCUUCCUCUUCUGCAACUUGCCAAUCUUUCCUAGAGCUCAUAGGAAAAGGUUCUGUACCUUGACUUUGGUCUUUCUCAUUGGAUUUUCACUGCAGUUGAAUACAUUCCCAUUCUUUAAGAUGAACUGAGAAAAUUCCAGAAACUUGAGGUGGGCUGGAAACUGCUCAAAGGGAUUUUCAGCCCUAAGAAUCGAUGCUACUUUAUAUGUCUGCUGAAAGGUCCUGAGUUUCCUGACACUCCUGGAAUUGAGAGAAGUCUGAGAGGCACUGUUUCUACAUCUGCCUUUCACUUUUCCACAAAGAAAGCAGCUGCUUGAAUCCUGGCAGAACAACUUGUUUUCACUGUACCUCAGGCAGGUCAUUCAAAUUUUCUGAAUCGUAAUCUUACCUUUAAACUGGGAGAAAUGACAUUUACUGCCUUGUAUUUAGAACUAGAAAUAAUGUAUACGUAAUGUGUCUGGCAGUAUUUGGCAUAUACAGUUGGGAUUGAAUCCAUGCUAUUAUUAUUAUGUUUAAUAUUCCUACUUUGCAUCUUAUAAAUCUCUUUCUCUUUUCUUCUUUGGUUAGUAUGUAUCGAUUGAACGGAUGGCAUAGUCCCUGUGACUACUAAUUUGAGUGUCUAUAAAGCAUGGUAAAUUUUAUCUGGAUUCUUAAAAUCCUUAGUGAAUCCAGAUUAUUUAUAUAGAUAGAAAAAAAGUUU